GAGCAAAGACGUGAUCCCCUCCUUUUGAGCACGACAAGCGCUUCUUGUCAGGCGCCCACACAAGACACCUGCAUUUUUCAGAGUAAGCCCGUACAACGGGGCCUUAGCUCAGCUGGGAGAGCACCUGCUUUGCAAGCAGGGGGUCGUCGGUUCGAUCCCGACAGGCUCCACCACUGAGAACGACUUUUGGGUCUGUAGCUCAGGUGGUUAGAGCGCACCCCUGAUAAGGGUGAGGUCGGUGGUUCGAGUCCUCCCAGACCCACCAAAACCAGGCUGGCUAUUACUUCUGAAACCUGCAAUCGCACACUAAAAGAUUAUUUUGAAACGGAUCGGCGCUGAAGCCGGCUUCGUGUUCUUUAACAACUUGUGACGUAGCGAGCGUUUUAGAUUUUCAUCUAGACGUGUCGUUGAGGCUAAGGCGGGGACCUCGAGUCCCUAAUAAAUUGAGUCGUAUGUUCGCGUUAAUGGCUUUGUACCCCAUUAACACGGCAUGUAACUCCGAGGCGACUUGGGGUUAUAUG
RNAcentral lists this unclassified non-coding RNA (521 nucleotides) under Xanthomonas campestris. Its description in RNAcentral is "16S-23S ribosomal RNA intergenic spacer". The stretch from base 189 to 262 matches the Rfam family "tRNA". Lineage: Bacteria; Pseudomonadati; Pseudomonadota; Gammaproteobacteria; Lysobacterales; Lysobacteraceae. The record is from RNAcentral.